RNAcentral lists this long non-coding RNA (1908 nucleotides) under Homo sapiens (human). Its description in RNAcentral is "HSALNT0319464". Lineage: Eukaryota; Metazoa; Chordata; Mammalia; Primates; Hominidae. The record is from RNAcentral.
GCAAAAAUCCUGGUAUGCUGUAGGAUCUCAAAAAUAUGUUUGAAUAAAUUAAGAACAAAAUGAAUAAAUAUUUGCAGGGACUGUAUGGAUAAAUAGUAAAGCUCCAAUAUUGUUGAUCACAGAUAGUAAACAUGUAAAACAGGCUCAUGCUUGCCCGUUGCUUGUAUAACAUAUUAAUAAUCUUUACAAAUUAUGGUAAGCAAUUGUUGGCAAUACUUUCCAAUUAUUGCUUUGAAACCAUUUGGUGUCAUUUUUGCAUCUCAGUAAAGGAAGCCUUUAUGCUGAGCUCUCACUUUAGUGUAGUUAAAAGCCAGAGGCCACAACAUCCCAGAGUCUCAUAAUUUUGCUUUCCAAUGUGGAAGAGUCACUGUUGAAAAAAAGGAAAAGGAGUCUUGUUUGGACUAAUUCAUUGUUAUUUAGGCUAAUAUAAUCUAUUAAGGAUAUUACAGUAUUGACAUAUAUAAUAGUUACUCUCUCAAAUAUAAUGAAUAUUUUCUAUUUCUGUUUAUCCUUAAAUUCUCAGUAAUACUCAACACUAUUAAUUUUAUCAACCUAACCCUCUUUGAAACAUAUUGUUAUUCUAUAUUAUUAUACGUCCUCUUAAAUCUCUGCCUUUUCUUUCCUGUCUCAUUUAUAGACCCAUCAUAAUAAAUAUGGCUACUAGGCCAGAUACAGAGGCUCACGCCUGUAAUCCCAGCACUUUGGGAGGCUGAGGUGGGCGGAUCACAAGGUCAGGAGUUCGAGACCAGCCUGGCCAACAUGGUGAAACCCUGUCUCUACUAAAAAUACAAAAAAUUAGCCGGGUGUGGUGGCGUGUGCCUGUAAUACCAGCUACUUGAGAGGCUGAGAAAAUGGCUAGAAAAAGGGAAUCUAAGAUAGUGGAGCCAUGUAAUGAGAGGAGCCAGAUACCUGUGUCAACACUUGGAGACAAGCUACUGAGGAAUGCAUACGAAUAAACAACAUUGGACUUUACAUGAAGAAGAAAUAAACUUUUCAUUAUUUUGUAUUGUUUUUGUUAUAGAGGCUAGGGUUGAUUACCAUGACAAUGUUUAAACAUAGGUAAUCUCAAAAAUACAAAUUAAUAUAAAAAGCCUUUGUAGGGAAAUGGAUGGAGCUGGAGACCAUUAUCCUUAGCAAACUGAGGCAGGAAGAGAAAACCAAAUACCACAUGUUCUCACUUAUAAGUGAGAGCUAAAUGAUGAGAACACCUGGACACAUAGAGGGAAACAACACACACUGUGGCCUAUCAGAGGGUGGAGGGUGGGAGGAGGGAGAGGGUCAAGAAAAAUAACUAAUGUAUACUAGGCUUAAUACCUGGGUGAUGAAAUAAUCUGUACAACAAACCCCCAUGAUGCAUGUUUACCUGUGUAACAAACCUGCACAUGUACUUCUGAAUUUAAAAACAUCAAUUUGCAUGAUGAUAUUAUAUAUAAAAUAUUUAAAACAAAAAAUAAUGUUACAUGGUAUUUAUUUUGUAUACACAUGUAAAAAUAUAUAAGUGUGCAUGAAAUGAACUACCAAAUUCAAUAUGGUGUUUACUUUCAAAUGAAGGACAGUGUGGUGGAUACUCAGGAAGCUUUAAUUGUAUCUGUAAUGUUUUAUUAAUUUAUUUUUAAAUUCUGAAUCAAUUUUGACAAAUGUUAGAAUUUAAUAGCACUCAGUGUGGAGUACCUAGAUGUUUAUUAUAUCAUAUUCUACUGUGGGAUUUUUUUUCCUGUAUUUGGAAAUAUUUUUUAAAAUGGGCUUUUAAUGAUUGGGAAGAAUUUUUAUAGAAGCCUAUACAGCAUAUAUAGUUGGUGGGAAGAUUUAUACUCAUUCAUCAAACAUAAAAUUAGAUUUAGGUACAAAUCUUAAAGCUUGAAAAGGGGAAGUUUUUCCCCUUUAUUAAGAAGUGCAUUUUACUCAGAG